Molecule: ribosomal RNA, 892 nt
Filed under: Halobacillus sp. SB27
Lineage: Bacteria; Bacillati; Bacillota; Bacilli; Caryophanales; Bacillaceae
Description: bacterial SSU rRNA
Rfam family: Bacterial small subunit ribosomal RNA
Source: RNAcentral
GCGAGUGGAUCCCUUCGGGGUGAAGCUCGUGGAACGAGCGGCGGACGGGUGAGUAACACGUGGGCAACCUGCCUGUAAGAUCGGAAUAACCCCGGGAAACCGGGGCUAAUGCCGGGUAAUACUUUCUUUCGCAUGAAGGAAAGUUGAAAGAUGGCUUCUUGCUAUCACUUACAGAUGGGCCCGCGGCGCAUUAGCUAGUUGGUGAGGUAACGGCUCACCAAGGCGACGAUGCGUAGCCGACCUGAGAGGGUGAUCGGCCACACUGGGACUGAGACACGGCCCAGACUCCUACGGGAGGCAGCAGUAGGGAAUCUUCCGCAAUGGACGAAAGUCUGACGGAGCAACGCCGCGUGAACGAUGAAGGUCUUCGGAUCGUAAAGUUCUGUUGUUAGGGAAGAACAAGUACCGUGCGAAUAGAGCGGUACCUUGACGGUACCUAACGAGGAAGCCCCGGCUAACUACGUGCCAGCAGCCGCGGUAAUACGUAGGGGGCAAGCGUUGUCCGGAAUUAUUGGGCGUAAAGCGCGCGCAGGCGGUUCCUUAAGUCUGAUGUGAAAGCCCACGGCUCAACCGUGGAGGGUCAUUGGAAACUGGGGAACUUGAGGACAGAAGAGGAGAGUGGAAUUCCACGUGUAGCGGUGAAAUGCGUAGAUAUGUGGAGGAACACCAGUGGCGAAGGCGACUCUCUGGUCUGUUUCUGACGCUGAGGUGCGAAAGCGUGGGUAGCAAACAGGAUUAGAUACCCUGGUAGUCCACGCCGUAAACGAUGAGUGCUAGGUGUUAGGGGCUUCCACCCCUUAGUGCUGAAGUUAACGCAUUAAGCACUCCGCCUGGGGAGUACGGCCGCAAGGCUGAAACUCAAAGGAAUUGACGGGGGCCCGCACAAGCGGUG